UGUGGCCUAGUUCAGUCUGAAUGACCCUAC
This 30-nucleotide non-coding RNA is filed under the name Mus musculus (house mouse). Lineage: Eukaryota; Metazoa; Chordata; Mammalia; Rodentia; Muridae. The record is from RNAcentral.